UAAACAAAAGUCCCAUCAGAGUGGAAUGCAUAUAUACUUUUUUUUGAACUGAAAAAACUGCAUAUUAAUAUUUUAAGAAAUCAGUGAAAGGCAGGUAUCAAUUACAAUUACAUAACAGUACAACUAAUUUGUUGAUAAUAAUUGUAUAUUACAAUUUCAUUCGUUCCCAAAUUCUUCAACUGUUUUAGUUGCAAGCGUAAGGAUGUCCGUGAAAGCAGAAAAUGAUGCUCGAAGAAAUCUCGCCUCCACUGCCUCAAAGUGCACUGAUAACUUCCCACCAGAGAUUGACAUGUGUCUUUUUACUUUGUCUGGCUGCAACUCCUUAUCGACUGCUAGGGCUGCAUGGACAAUGGCAGCAUUCUCCUCGGACUCAAAAUCUACUUCCAAGUCACUGCAGGUGAUUAUUUAUUUAUGUCAAACAAUGUCAUAUAAAGAAAUUCUGUUAGGUAAAGAAAUAUAUCUUAAUAUCGUAGUAUUGUGUAAAUUAAAUAGAUAUAAUGUCAAAGGGAAGGUGAUAAUAAUAAAGGGUCACCAUAUUCAUAUAAUUCUUUGGGAUUAUUCAAAUAUUAUGAAAUCAAGGGCAUCUUGCCAUAUGCUUUAGAACUUUCAACAUAGAGAUUCUAUAUAGGCUAGCUCAUUUUUCAAAAUCAGCAACAUUAUAUCAUUUUAGUACAGGAUAAUUCACAUCUCUGGCCUGAUUGAAUAACCAUCUUUGAACAGCAAAUCUGAAGGAAACAAUAGACUGGAAUCCAACAAUUGUUACGAGAAUUUAGUGAAGUUCUGAUAUAAUAAAUUCAAGGCCUUAAGAUUGUAGCUGAUAACACCUUAAAGCAUGCUAAGAAUAUCUAAUCCCUUCUAACAAUGUCCAAGGGCUGCACUGGUUGGUUACCUCAUAAUCCCUCUACAGCUGUCACACUUGAAAAUUAAACUAUGUAGAGAACAUUAAGUAUUCUAAAAAUAAUCAUUCUAAUUGAAAAAAUAAGUAGGUUUCUUCUACCUCCCUUUAAUGUAUUUUUACUUCUCUGUACACUGGAAAAUAAACUUGGUUUUCAUUU
RNAcentral lists this unclassified non-coding RNA (1055 nucleotides) under Hevea brasiliensis (rubber tree). The record is from RNAcentral. Lineage: Eukaryota; Viridiplantae; Streptophyta; Magnoliopsida; Malpighiales; Euphorbiaceae.